GACGAACGCUGGCGGCGUGCUUAACACAUGCAAGUCGAGCGGUAAGGCCCUUUCGGGGGUACGACGAGCGGCGAACGGGUAGGAGUAACAACGUGGGUGGACCUCGCCCUCCAGCUCUGGGAGUAAGACCUCGGGAAACCGGGGUACCGUAAUAACCGGAUAUGACUCCAUGACGCAUGUUGUGGGGUGGAAAGACCUUGUGCGGCUGAGGA
Molecule: ribosomal RNA, 212 nt
Filed under: uncultured bacterium
Lineage: Bacteria
Description: partial 16S ribosomal RNA
Rfam family: Bacterial small subunit ribosomal RNA
Source: RNAcentral